AAUCAACGCUGGCGGCGUGCCUAACACAUGCAAGUCGAACGCGAAAGCCCUUUCGGGGGUAAGUAGAGUGGCGUCCGGGUGAGUAACACGUAGGUAAUCUACCUUCGGGUGGGGAAUAACUCGCCGAAAGGCGAGCUAAUACCGCAUAAUGCAGCGGCACCUAAUGGUGAUUAGUUGUUAAAGCGGGGGAUCGUAAGACCUCGCGCCUGAAGAGGAGCCUGCGGCAGAUUAGCAGUUGGUGAGGUAAUGGCUCACCAAGGCUUCGAUCUGUAGCUGGUCUGAGAGGACGGCCAGCCACACUGGCACUGACACACGGGCCAGACUCCUACGGGAGGCAGCAGUGGGGAAUUUUGGGCAAUGGGCGCAAGCCUGACCCAGCAACGCCGCGUGAGGGGAGGAAACUCCGUUCGGGAUGUAAACCUCACAAGACGAAGGGAAGAGAGCU
Molecule: ribosomal RNA, 445 nt
Filed under: uncultured bacterium
Lineage: Bacteria
Description: bacterial SSU rRNA
Rfam family: Bacterial small subunit ribosomal RNA
Source: RNAcentral